GAGAGAGAGAAGGUUCUUCUGUAGU
Molecule: non-coding RNA, 25 nt
Filed under: Cricetulus griseus (Chinese hamster)
Lineage: Eukaryota; Metazoa; Chordata; Mammalia; Rodentia; Cricetidae
Source: RNAcentral